RNAcentral lists this ribosomal RNA (576 nucleotides) under Escherichia coli. Its description in RNAcentral is "partial 23S ribosomal RNA". It matches the Rfam family "Bacterial large subunit ribosomal RNA", at positions 695 to 1268 of the family's 2925-position model. The record is from RNAcentral. Lineage: Bacteria; Pseudomonadati; Pseudomonadota; Gammaproteobacteria; Enterobacterales; Enterobacteriaceae.
UUAAGUUGCAGGGUAUAGACCCGAAACCCGGUGAUCUAGCCAUGGGCAGGUUGAAGGUUGGGUAACACUAACUGGAGGACCGAACCGACUAAUGUUGAAAAAUUAGCGGAUGACUUGUGGCUGGGGGUGAAAGGCCAAUCAAACCGGGAGAUAGCUGGUUCUCCCCGAAAGCUAUUUAGGUAGCGCCUCGUGAAUUCAUCUCCGGGGGUAGAGCACUGUUUCGGCAAGGGGGUCAUCCCGACUUACCAACCCGAUGCAAACUGCGAAUACCGGAGAAUGUUAUCACGGGAGACACACGGCGGGUGCUAACGUCCGUCGUGAAGAGGGAAACAACCCAGACCGCCAGCUAAGGUCCCAAAGUCAUGGUUAAGUGGGAAACGAUGUGGGAAGGCCCAGACAGCCAGGAUGUUGGCUUAGAAGCAGCCAUCAUUUAAAGAAAGCGUAAUAGCUCACUGGUCGAGUCGGCCUGCGCGGAAGAUGUAACGGGGCUAAACCAUGCACCGAAGCUGCGGCAGCGACACUGUGUGUUGUUGGGUAGGGGAGCGUUCUGUAAGCCUGUGAAGGUGUGCUGUGAGG